This 326-nucleotide ribosomal RNA is filed under the name uncultured eukaryote. RNAcentral's name for it is "partial 18S ribosomal RNA". It matches the Rfam family "Eukaryotic small subunit ribosomal RNA", at positions 1470 to 1796 of the family's 1831-position model. The record is from RNAcentral.
CCCUUAGAUGUUCUGGGCCGCACGCGCGCUACACUGAUGCAUUCAACGAGCCUAGCCUUGACCGAGAGGUCCGGGUGAUCUUUGAAACUGCAUCGUGAUGGGGCUAGAUUAUUGCAAUUAUUAAUCUUCAACGAGGAAUGCCUAGUAAGCGUGAUUCAUCAAAUCGCGUUGAUUACGUCCCUGCCCUUUGUACACACCGCCCGUCGCUCCUACCGAUUGAGUGUGUUGGUGAGGAGUUUGGAUUGGCCUCGGAAGGUGGUUCGCCACCGUCCGUAGCUGAGAAGUUCUCCAAACCGCCCCACUUAUAGGAAGGAGAAGUCGUAACA